Molecule: unclassified non-coding RNA, 213 nt
Filed under: Hevea brasiliensis (rubber tree)
Lineage: Eukaryota; Viridiplantae; Streptophyta; Magnoliopsida; Malpighiales; Euphorbiaceae
Source: RNAcentral
UUGCUUAUUUCCAAGUUCCAAAGGUUGACCCGGAGAUCAUCAGCAGAUAUAAAUGUUUCGCCGUCACUGUUAUUUGAAAUAGAGUUGAUGUGAUAGUCAUGUGCAUGAGCAUACACUCUUCUGCACCUAGCAACAAGGCUGGUCUCAUUACUUGUUACUACCACAGGUAAACGUAAUGAAGAAAAGCCCCCAGGUGGAAACGACAAAUCAUUG